GUCUUCGUGGCUCAGUUGGUUAGAGCGUUGGUCUCAUAGAAAUAUGACCCAGUCUUUAGCCUGGGAUAUCCAAAGGUCGUGAGUUCGAGCCUCACCGAGGACA
Molecule: non-coding RNA, 103 nt
Organism: Hypoxylon sp. FL1284
Lineage: Eukaryota; Fungi; Ascomycota; Sordariomycetes; Xylariales; Hypoxylaceae
Source: the annotation of a GenBank genome assembly